AUGGCAGAGAUCGACAUGAUGAAGGAGCGCUUCGCCAAGCUGCUGCUGGGCGAGGACAUGUCCGGCAGCGGCAAGGGCGUCUGCACCGCGCUCGCCGUCUCCAACGCCAUCACCAACCUCUCCGCCACCGUGUUCGGCGAGCUGUGGCGGCUGGAGCCGCUGGCGCCGGCCAGGAAGGCCAUGUGGACGCGGGAGAUGGACUGGCUGCUCUCCGUCGCCGACUCCAUCGUCGAGCUCAUCCCCUCGCUCCAGGAGCUCCCCGACGGCGGCGGCCAGUUCGAGGUCAUGGUGCCGCGCCCCCGCAGCGACCUCUACAUGAACCUCCCCGCGCUCAGGAAGCUCGACGCCAUGCUCCUCGCCAUGAUCGACGAGUUCAAGGAGACCGACUUCUGGUACGUCGACAGGGGCAUCGUCGUCGACGACGGCGGCGGGGGGCCCUGCCCGUCCUCCUCGUCUUCCUCCUGCGGGCGGCCGUCGUCGGUGCGGCAGGAGGACAAGUGGUGGCUGCCGUGCCCGCGGGUGCCGCCCAAGGGGCUGCCCGAGGAGGCCCGGAGGAAGCUGCAGCAGAGCAGGGACUGCGCCAACCAGAUUCUGAAGGCCGCCAUGGCCAUCAACAGCGACGUGCUUGCUGAGAUGGAGAUCCCGGAGGCGUACCUGGAGUCCUUGCCAAAGAGUGGUCGAUCUUGCUUGGGUGAGAUAAUUUACCGGUACAUAACGGCUGAACAAUUCUCACCUGAAUGCCUCCUGGACUGCUUGGACCUGUCAUCGGAGCACCAUACACUUGAAGUAGCAAACAGAAUAGAGGCCGCCAUCCAUGUCUGGAGACUAAAGGGCCAAAAGAAAACGGCGCCUCAGGCAAAGUCGAAGAAAUCUUGGGGUGGAAAAGUGAAGGGUCUUGUUGGAGAUACAAAGAGCCAAGUGCUGUCCCAAAGAGCCGACGGUCUGCUACAGAGCUUAAGAUUGCGACACCCUGGUUUGCCACAGACUUCCCUUGACAUGAACAAGAUCCAGUACAACAAGGAUGUCGGCCAGUCCAUACUUGAAAGUUACUCGAGGGUCCUGGAGAGCUUGGCGUUCAACACAAUUGCGAGGAUCGACGACGUGAUUUACGUGGACGACGCAACGAAGAAGUCUGCCGCGGCGGAGACCGUUUCGAUCUUCAACCGCGGCACGGGGGCACCAGUCCAGAAGAAGAUCUCCCCGAGCCCAUUCUCGAUCCAGCACACGCCGUACGCCUCCCCCUUCGCCACACCCACCUUCUGCUCCUCCACCCCAGUCAAUGGCAACAGCCCCGGACGAGCACCACUGCCACCGCCGAGCAAAAAGAACCCGCCAGCGAAACAACCCGAGAUCAAAGUGGAGAAGCUCUUCUCCGGCGAUGUAGAGAAGGUGUGGACCUAUGCCGGAAACCUGAGCGCGCGGAAAGAAGCCGGAGACGCUCCUGAAAGGGACUGA
This 1455-nucleotide ribosomal RNA is filed under the name Triticum aestivum (bread wheat). RNAcentral describes it as "partial small subunit ribosomal RNA". The record is from RNAcentral. Lineage: Eukaryota; Viridiplantae; Streptophyta; Magnoliopsida; Poales; Poaceae.